Molecule: ribosomal RNA, 208 nt
Filed under: uncultured bacterium
Lineage: Bacteria
Description: partial 16S ribosomal RNA
Rfam family: Bacterial small subunit ribosomal RNA
Source: RNAcentral
UGCGUAGGUGGUUGGUUAAGUUUGAGGUGAAAGCUCCGAGCUCAACUCGGAAAAUGCCUUGAAGACUAUCUGACUAGAGGAUUGGAGGGGAGAUUGGAAUUCUCGGUGUAGCAGUGAAAUGCGUAGAUAUCGAGAGGAACACCAGUGGCGAAGGCGAAUCUCUGGACAAUUCCUGACACUGAGGCACGAAAGCCAAGGGAGCAAAACG